This 1188-nucleotide ribosomal RNA is filed under the name Enterobacter hormaechei. RNAcentral's name for it is "partial 23S ribosomal RNA". It matches the Rfam family "Bacterial large subunit ribosomal RNA", at positions 1570 to 2739 of the family's 2925-position model. Lineage: Bacteria; Pseudomonadati; Pseudomonadota; Gammaproteobacteria; Enterobacterales; Enterobacteriaceae. The record is from RNAcentral.
GAGGCACUACGGUGCUGAAGUGAUAAAUGCCCUGCUUCCAGGAAAAGCCUCUAAGCAUCAGGUAACACGAAAUCGUACCCCAAACCGACACAGGUGGUCAGGUAGAGAAUACCAAGGCGCUUGAGAGAACUCGGGUGAAGGAACUAGGCAAAAUGGUGCCGUAACUUCGGGAGAAGGCACGCUGAUAUGUAGGUGAAGCCCCUGCGGGCGGAGCUGAAAUCAGUCGAAGAUACCAGCUGGCUGCAACUGUUUAUUAAAAACACAGCACUGUGCAAACACGAAAGUGGACGUAUACGGUGUGACGCCUGCCCGGUGCCGGAAGGUUAAUUGAUGGGGUUAGCGGCAACGCGAAGCUCUUGAUCGAAGCCCCGGUAAACGGCGGCCGUAACUAUAACGGUCCUAAGGUAGCGAAAUUCCUUGUCGGGUAAGUUCCGACCUGCACGAAUGGCGUAAUGAUGGCCAGGCUGUCUCCACCCGAGACUCAGUGAAAUUGAACUCGCUGUGAAGAUGCAGUGUACCCGCGGCAAGACGGAAAGACCCCGUGAACCUUUACUAUAGCUUGACACUGAACACUGGUCCUUGAUGUGUAGGAUAGGUGGGAGGCUUUGAAGCGUGGACGCCAGUCUGCGUGGAGCCAACCUUGAAAUACCACCCUUUAAUGGCUGGUGUUCUAACGUAGACCCGUAAUCCGGGUUGCGGACAGUGUCUGGUGGGUAGUUUGACUGGGGCGGUCUCCUCCCAAAGAGUAACGGAGGAGCACGAAGGUUGGCUAAUCCUGGUCGGACAUCAGGAGGUUAGUGCAAUGGCAUAAGCCAGCUUGACUGCGAGCGUGACGGCGCGAGCAGGUGCGAAAGCAGGUCAUAGUGAUCCGGUGGUUCUGAAUGGAAGGGCCAUCGCUCAACGGAUAAAAGGUACUCCGGGGAUAACAGGCUGAUACCGCCCAAGAGUUCAUAUCGACGGCGGUGUUUGGCACCUCGAUGUCGGCUCAUCACAUCCUGGGGCUGAAGUAGGUCCCAAGGGUAUGGCUGUUCGCCAUUUAAAGUGGUACGCGAGCUGGGUUUAGAACGUCGUGAGACAGUUCGGUCCCUAUCUGCCGUGGGCGCUGGAGAAUUGAGGGGGGCUGCUCCUAGUACGAGAGGACCGGAGUGGACGCAUCACUGGUGUUCGGGUUGUCAUGCCAAUGGCACU